Molecule: ribosomal RNA, 467 nt
Filed under: uncultured bacterium
Lineage: Bacteria
Description: partial 16S ribosomal RNA
Rfam family: Bacterial small subunit ribosomal RNA
Source: RNAcentral
GACGAACGCUGGCGGCGUGCUUAACACAUGCAAGUCGAACGGAAAGGCCCUGCUUUUGUGGGGUGCUCGAGUGGCGAACGGGUGAGUAACACGUGAGUAACCUGCCCUUGACUUUGGGAUAACUUCAGGAAACUGGGGCUAAUACCGGAUAGGAGCUCCUGCUGCAUGGUGGGGGUUGGAAAGUUUCGGCGGUUGGGGAUGGACUCGCGGCUUAUCAGCUUGUUGGUGGGGUAGUGGCUUACCAAGGCUUUGACGGGUAGCCGGCCUGAGAGGGUGACCGGCCACCGUGGGAUGGGGGUACGGCCCGGACUCCUACGGGAGGCAGCGGGGGGGAAUGUUGCACAAGGGGGGGAAGCCUGAUGCAGCAACGCCGGGGGGGGGAUGGCGGCCUUCGGGUUGUAAACCGCUUUCGCCUGGGACGAAGGGGGGGGGAGGGUAAGGGGUAAAGAAACACCGGCUAACUACGG